UAAUAAUAACCAUAAUGAUUUUUUCCAAUCUCCGGAGUUAAGCAUUAGGUACCGAUCCGGUAAAUCCACUAUCUACCUAAAAUUCUAAUUCCUAGUCCGAUAAUUGAAAUAAUGUAUAUUCCUAAUGAUUGAAAACAGUGCUUUUCGAGUCAUUUAUCGAUAGAUAGGACAAGAAAAUAUAAUUCAAUAUACUAAUGAACUACAAAAUCCACGUUCGGAAAUUGUCCCU
Molecule: non-coding RNA, 229 nt
Organism: Cinara cedri
Lineage: Eukaryota; Metazoa; Arthropoda; Insecta; Hemiptera; Aphididae
Source: the annotation of a GenBank genome assembly